Molecule: non-coding RNA, 148 nt
Organism: Leptonychotes weddellii (Weddell seal)
Lineage: Eukaryota; Metazoa; Chordata; Mammalia; Carnivora; Phocidae
Source: RefSeq, a predicted model, not a curated record
AGCUUUGCGCAGUGGCAGUAUCGUAGCCAGUGAGGUUUAUCCGAGGCGCAGUUAUUGCUAAUUGAAAAUUUUUUCCUUUAUUCUUAAAUACUUUACUUUUCUUCUCUUUUCUUUCCUUUUUUUUCUUUUUAGAGAGGGAGAGAGAGAG